Molecule: long non-coding RNA, 4630 nt
Organism: Canis lupus familiaris (dog)
Lineage: Eukaryota; Metazoa; Chordata; Mammalia; Carnivora; Canidae
Exons: 3
Source: RefSeq, a predicted model, not a curated record
CUCCCUCUGCCUCUGCUACUCCCCCUGCUUGUGCUCCCUUGCUCUCAAAUAAAUUUAAGAAAAAAUAAAUAAAGGAAGGAGAGGAUGCCAGAGUGCCUUCCAAAUUAUUUGCCUUGUUGAUAUUUUCUCCUUUUCACUGACAGAGUAGUACCAUGCAGGUAUGUGCCAUACUGAGCACACUUUAAAAAUUUGGUGGUGGCCUAAACAACAGAUUCUCUCGACAAGGAAUUUCAGAAUUGUGGGGUAACUUUGUGGGCUGGCGCUUCACAAGGCACCCAUUCACAUAACUUGGCUAGAUUGUAUUUUCACACACACACACACUCACACACCCCGGCCCACGGCUUGUUGCUACGUGUGAUUUUUAAACAAGCUCUCGUGACAAUAAUCUCUGGGUGCUGUCAAGCUGGUUUCCUUCCUGUUGGCAUAAAAUGCCCCAAAACUUACUUCCUGUCAUUCUUGACUGUCUUCCUAUUUACUGAUAACGUCUCAGGGCACAGCCUGGAGUUAAACAGAAAUACAGUGAGUAUAUUUCAAAUAAUGGGAUUUUCAUGUACAGGCUUCUGGGAUAAUGGCCCCAAAUACGCCCCUGGGAACAAAUUAACGGCAAAGGUUUGCAUCAGUGACUUGGAUUUCCUGCUGAAUUUGCUCUGAAAGAGCAAAUACGUGUGGAAUGAAGCUGCUUUGUAGGUUCCCUCUUUACACAAGGCCUCCCUUCUGCCUUAAUCACCUGGAUUGACUCUGUAAAAGCACAAAUGGAUGUAGUUCACCGAAGAGCAUUUCGGAAACAUGUGCUUUUCCUGUGAUGAUGUGUAAUUAAUCACCUCCAGGCAAAGCAAACAAGGCAAGGUGGCUUUUAAAGCCUCUGCCAGCCUUUCUUCUUCUCUUCCUGUCUUGUUCUUGUCAGAAGAAUCUCUGCCGUCCUCUGAUUUUUCCCUGCUUCAAGCCUUGUGUGAUCACAGAAGUUUCAUCAGAGGCUGCUUUGAACCACCGUUCUCUCCUCCAGAUGCAGAGGCCAAGUCUACGUGACAACUGCCACAGGGACGAGAAAAGGCAGUGGUGUGAAUCGACACGCUUGCAAAUCUGGGCAACACGCCUCCUCCCAACCAUGAGGCCCUUUAUGCAAAGCCCAUUCAUCGGUCUCAUGCCCCCCAGUAGUCCACACUCUUGGACAUGGGUAGUGGGGCAGGGAUUCUCAGAAUACACCUGCCACUGAAGCCCCAUUUAGGAGGCCCAGAAACGUUCCAUUCUCUGAUGAGAUAACUCAAGACAACAAAAAAGUGCUGAUUGAGAAGACUUUGGGGCAGGAUGGAGGUGGGUGCCUCUGGGUUCACUCAUAAGUCACUGCCUGGCAUUGACCUUCCAGAAGUAAGUGCAUUGCUGAAAGUAGCUGCUAUGGAUUGAACUGUACCCUCCCAGAAGAUGUGUAUGUGAUCUGUCCGGAAAGAGCAUCUUUGCAGAUGAUCAGCUUAUGAUGACUUAUGGGGGCCCUGAUUCAGUAUGGCUGGCACCCUUACAAAGAGGAAAUGGGGACACAGGGACAGGCAUACGUGCGUGGAGAAUGCCAGGGAGGAUGAAGGCAGAGGCGAGCGGGAUGCUUUACAAUCCAAGGAACUACAAGCAUUGCCAGCAAACCACAGGAAGCCCAGAGAGAAGCAUGGACUAGAUCCCGCCUCCCAGUCCUUGGAAGGAACUGACCCUGCUUACCCCGUGAACUUGGACUUCUAGCCUCCGGAAUUUGGAGAUACUAGAUUUUUGUUGUUCUAAACCACUCGGUUUGUGGCGUUCGUAGUAAUUUCUCAGGAAGCAGCAAAUGAUUGAAUGAUUGACCUUUGCAGAGCAUAUUAGUGUGCUCAGGCUGUCAUAACCGAAUACCACCAGAUGGCUGAAACGUCAGCGUAUCAUUGUCUGACAGUUCUGGAGAAGUCCAUGAUCAAAGGGUGGCAGGGUCGGUUUCCUCUGAGGUCUGUCUCCUUGGCUUGCACACUCUCGCAUCCUCUCUGUGUGCCCUGGUGUCUCUUCGAAAACCUUCUUCACUGGAUUAGAGCCCAGGCUGAUGGACUCAUUUUAACACAAUCACCUCUCUAAUGACAAUAUUUCCCAAUAUAGACACAUUCGGAGGUCCUGGGGGUUGGGACUCCAGCAUAUGAAUUUGGGGGACAUGAGUCAGCCCCUGACAGCACAGGGGCCAUCUGAAGCAGCUAGGAGUGGAGGGCCAGGCAUUUGAGAACAGAGGACACGGGCCACUUAUCAGACCAAGCAAGCCCAAUGCUUCCUGAGGACCAAUGCCUUGGGCUUUGUGGGCACUGUUUGCUGAGUCAGCAUCAGGGAUCCAGGUAGCCUGUCUAUUGUACCCUCACGUUAAUGAGCCUGGACUCACCCAGGCUUCGAGCUCUUUCCAGGUGUGGCACAGCAGCUCUGGACAGACGGUGCCUUCAGCCUCAGGGAUGGCCUGCUGACGUUGUCCCAGCCUGACCCCAGACAUCCAAGGCCUGCGCUCCCUCCUCUGCUCACUGCAACAGCCAAUGUAAAGGGUAAUAUAAUCACCAGCAGCUGAGAGACAAUGACAUUUUUAUAGACCUUCUGGCAACACUGGAGUGUGAAAGAGCCUGACAGGUAUUCAGGAAGGAUUUCCUACUCACCUCCCUUCCUACGGUAGUGAUGGUUCCCUCUCGAAGCCAGACGUGGAAAUCUCAUCUGAAUGGAAGCUGAACUUCAAUGGGCUUGGCCCAUGUUCUCCAUGAAUUCUGCACAGUGAAUCCACUUUGGUUAGUGCAGUUGGAUCAGAUUUCUACAUAUUCUUCCCUCAGAAAAGGAUCAAGAAUGGAGUUUCUGAAACAGAUGCUCAGAUCAGAAAAGUGGCUCGAAACCACCCUCCUACAGAUGAAAAAUCUGAAGCCGAGGGAGGUUUAGCAACUUGCACAACAGGACUGAGAUAAUCAGAAGGCAGAGAUGCUCACCAAGUGCUGCCCUGCUGUUUCUCGACCUUCCUGGCCCCACCCACUUCCUUAAAGUCUAGUGUCUGUAGGUGGCUUCACUCUCAGCCCCUCUGACUUAAGCUUCACUGCGUUUAUUUUGUAAAUAUUUUAUUUAUUUCUUUUGAUAGACAGCAAGUGAGAGAGAGAGAGACAGAGCACAAGCAGGGGGCAAGGGACAGAGGGAGAAGCACUUUCUGCUGAGCAGAGAGCCAGACGCAGGUCUCCAUCCCAGGACCCUGGGAUCACAACCCGAGCUGAGGGUAGAUGCCCAACUGACUGAGCCACCCAGGUGCCCCAGCUUCACUGCCUAUGUGUAAGUCAAUUUCGCACGUAUAAUCGACGUAUAAGUCAAUUUCGCACAGGGCAAAGAUGCUAGAGAUGAUAAAAUAAUUUAGUUAUAAUGAUCGUUACUGAAAAAAAAAUCACAAGUGCCCCCAAAUGCUUGAUCAUUUUGACUAUGAUUGUAAAUUAACCCUGGCACAGGGUUUUGUUUUUAACUUCUGGCAAAAAUAUGGCCAAUGGAAUUAUUUGUUUUUCUCUCGAGAUACUUCCCUGGUGCAAAACAAGAAGUUUUCACCUGUCCAAGAGGUAAUUUGUUGUCCUUGCUCAUCAUCAUACCUUCUCCAGCUCCCUGGGAACUGAUACAUGUACAUUUAAAAAGAAGUGUCCUUGGGACCCCUGGGUGGCUCAGCGGUUGAGCUCCUGCCUUUGGCCCAGGGAGUGAUCCUGGAGUCCCAGGAUCGAGUCCCACGUCAGGCUCCCUGCAUGGAGCCUGCUUCUCCCUCUGCCUGUGUCUCUGCCUCUCUCUGUGUGUCUACCAUGAAUAAAUAAAUAAAGUAUAAUAUUUUUUAAAAUAAAGAAGUGUCCUUGAGAGAGGUACCCAGGAGCAUUACACUUACUGAUUCCAAAAGGUGUUACAAAACUAUUGUAAUUAAAACAUUAUGGUGCAAUAGAGUAUUAUGCAGUCAUAAAAAAGAAUGAGAUCUUGCCAUUUGUGACCACUUGCACUUUAUGCCAAGUGAAAUAAGACAGGCAGAGAAAGCAAAUACCAUAUCAUCUUACUUAUCUGUGGAAUCGAAACCAAACCAAAACAAAAACCAACCUUGUAGAUAUAGAGGAGAGACUGGUGGAUGCCAGAGGCAGAGGUCUGAGGGGGUGAGAGAAAUGAGUAUAUGUGAUCAAAGGUACAAGCUUCCAGUUAUAAGAUCAUGGAGACGUAACAUAGAGCAUGGUGAUGAUAGUGAUACUGUGUCGUAUAUUUGAAAGUUGCUAAGGGAGUAGAUCUUAAAAGUUCUCAUCAUAAGAAAAAAUUCAUUAACCAGACUUAUUGUGGUGAUCAUUUCACAAUAUGUACAAGUAUUAAAGUACAAUAAAUACAAGUUGUACACCUGAAACUGAUAUAAUGUCAACUGUACCUCAAAAAAUACAAAACGGAAAGAAGUAUCUUCCUGUAUAUGUGUAAAUAUGUCCACAUCUAUGGGCUCUCCUGUGUAAUUGUUUGGUGGUCACUGUUUAUAAAUACUUGUUUUCUAUAAAUCUGGUUUUACUGGUGGCUUUAAGCAAAAAGCAAAGAAAUAAUUUUAAAAGAUCCCCCAAAGCUUCUAAAUGGGCAUAGAAAAUGUUUCUAGUAAAAUAUAGUGUCCACCUGUGUUGGU